CACGCAGCCCCGCCUCCCAUGGAGACCCGGCCUGAGGAGCAGAGGCGGGAGCUUCGAGAGUAGGGCGGUGCGAAAAGAGAUGGAUCCAAAAAAAUAUUGCUGCCUCCCCACAGCACCUCUGGGAUCCUCUGACAAGCCACAUCCAUGCCUGACCCAAGACAAGCUGCCUUGGCUUCCCUGCAGGUACCUGCCCUGGGAGGGACAUGGCUACUGGGCAGUAAAAGACACGGACUCUCCUCCUUCAGGGCUCUGAACCUGAGAGGAAGCUACAAAGAUACCCUCUCUGCUGUUGACAUUACCUGCUAGAAGAGAAUUGAGGAUGACAGCAUGGCUAAAGUGUGGCAUUUCUUGUAGAG
This is a long non-coding RNA of Balaenoptera musculus (blue whale), 356 nucleotides long. RefSeq lists it as uncharacterized. The transcript is spliced from 3 exons. NCBI's taxonomy places the organism in Eukaryota, Metazoa, Chordata, Mammalia, Artiodactyla, Balaenopteridae. The record is from RefSeq and is a predicted model, not a curated record.